AACAUCUCAAAGAAAAAGAAAAAAGAGAAAAAAAAACUCUCACCUGGUAGCAAAAUCAUCUGCCGGGAUGCGCUUCGCCGUCCCGCUCGUCCGGAAGGCGGCGACCUCAGCCUCGGCCUCAGGGCCGGCGACGACGACCUCGCUGAAGGUGGGCGACGCGCUGCGGUCGGGCCGGCGGCGGUUCACGGAGGCCGACGUGGCGGCGUACGCGGCGGUGAGCGGCGACCGGAACCCGGUGCACCUGGACGACGCCUUCGCCCGCGGGGCCGGCGGGUUCGCGCGCGGCCGCGUUGUCCACGGCAUGCUCGCCGCCUCCCUCUUCCCUGCCCUCAUCGCUUCUCGCUUCCCCGGAGCCGUGUACGCGAGCCAGUCGCUCAGGUUCGCCGCGCCGGUGUACGUCGGCGACGAGGCGGCCGCGGAGGUGCGGGCGCUCAACAUCAAAUCCGCCGGCGGGAGGCACAUAGUCAAGUUCGCCACCAAGUGCUUCGCCAACGGCCAUGAAGAUGGCGAGGAGACUCUCGCCAUUGAUGGCGAGGCCAUGGUGUUCCUGCCCACGCUGCAGCUCGGCUCGGAGGCCAUUGCGGAGUAACAAGCACGGCGUGCAGUUUACCAGAAGGAAAAAAAAAAAGGGUACAGUAUGCUGGUGCGUCCGUACGAACUAUGGCACGAGCUUUGGCAGCGUAAGCGGCCCGUGGAGGCUUGCGAGGGUAUCGGCGGCGAGGCACAAGAAGCGCAGCGCUCAUCUCGGGAUUGUCGGACAGUAGGGCUUAGCCUUUGGCAGCGGAAACAGCUCAUGGAGGCUUGCGGGGAUACGGGCAGCAAGGCACAAGCAGCGCAGUGCUCGUUUCGGGAUGGAUGGCCAGUAGGGCUCGGCGACGAACAGGUAUCCUUCCAGUGAGGUUGUUCCCGUCCAACUUUAGAGCAAUCAGCUUAACAAGAUUGCCAAUAUUAUCAGGGAUUUGGCCUGAGAGUCUGUUAUGUGCCAAGGUUAGAUCGACCAAGCUGUUCAAGUUCCU
Molecule: non-coding RNA, 1016 nt
Organism: Lolium perenne
Lineage: Eukaryota; Viridiplantae; Streptophyta; Magnoliopsida; Poales; Poaceae
Source: RefSeq, a predicted model, not a curated record